GCUCCUCCAGCAACACAAUGUGAUCCAUCGGCAAGGAGAGACACCAAUAAGGCAUCCGAUAAGCUUCAUCCAGUGGCUGAUGGAAGCAGAGGCAGACACCCACAGCUAAACACUGAACUGAACUCUGGAACCCAGUUGCAGAGAGGGAGGAGUGAAGAUCAAAGAGGUCGGGAUCAGGCUCAUGAAACCCACAGAAACAGCUGACCUGAACAAGGGGGAGCACAUUGACCCCAGACUGAUGUCUGCGAGGCCAGCAUGGGUCUGAUCCAGACCCCUGAAUGUGGAUGUCAGUGAGGAGGCCUCGAUGCACAGUCAUUGUUGACUGAACAAUGAAUACAUUUUAAUAUGUAAUCUACUGUUUGCUACAAGAACUCAGAAGAAAUAACACAUUUAAUUAAAUGCAUCAGAACUUCAGAGGUAUCAACACACUCUUCAAAGGAUCCAGGGGAAAACACCAAUUACACAUUCCAGUAAACAUGCCCAUAGUAGACUGGAGAUUAUUAGUUAACACUCCAAUCAACCCAACAAACAUUUUUUGAGCCUAUACAUCAUGCACGAGGACUAUCUCUGUGAGGAAUACAAAG
RNAcentral lists this long non-coding RNA (584 nucleotides) under Cricetulus griseus (Chinese hamster). RNAcentral describes it as "lncRNA (ENSCGRG00015043423.1)". Lineage: Eukaryota; Metazoa; Chordata; Mammalia; Rodentia; Cricetidae. The record is from RNAcentral.